GAUGAACGCUGGCGGCGUGCUUAACACAUGCAAGUCGAACGGUGAAGCAGGAGCUUGCUCUUGUGGAUCAGUGGCGAACGGGUGAGUAACACGUGAGCAACCUGCCCCUGACCCUGGGAUAAGCGCUGGAAACGGCGUCUAAUACUGGAUAUGUGAUGUGACCGCAUGGUCUGCAUCUGGAAAGAAUUUCGGUUGGGGAUGGGCUCGCGGCCUAUCAGCUUGUUGGUGAGGUAAUGGCUCACCAAGGCGUCGACGGGUAGCCGGCCUGAGAGGGUGACCGGCCACGCUGGGACUGAGACACGGCCCAGACUCCUACGGGAGGCAGCAGUGGGGAAUAUUGCACAAUGGGCGGAAGCCUGAUGCAGCAACGCCGCGUGAGGGAUGACGGCCUUCGGGUUGUAAACCUCUUUUAGCAGGGAAGAAGCGAAAGUGACGGUACCUGCAGAAAAAGCACCGGCUAACUACGUGCCAGCCGCCGCGGUAA
RNAcentral lists this ribosomal RNA (484 nucleotides) under uncultured bacterium. RNAcentral's name for it is "partial 16S ribosomal RNA". It matches the Rfam family "Bacterial small subunit ribosomal RNA", at positions 28 to 523 of the family's 1533-position model. The record is from RNAcentral.